GUGCUCGCUUCACAAGCACGUAUACGAAAAUUGGAACCAUACAGAGAAGGACAGCAUGGCCCCUGAGCAAAAGCAAGUCACAGAUUUUUCUUUUAGCAUUCCUGAGUUUU
Equus asinus (donkey) is the source of this 110-nucleotide small nuclear RNA. NCBI's taxonomy places the organism in Eukaryota, Metazoa, Chordata, Mammalia, Perissodactyla, Equidae. The record is from Ensembl.